Molecule: long non-coding RNA, 996 nt
Organism: Eurytemora carolleeae
Lineage: Eukaryota; Metazoa; Arthropoda; Copepoda; Calanoida; Temoridae
Exons: 3
Source: RefSeq, a predicted model, not a curated record
UCUUGUCUCUUCUUAUUAAUCUUGUUUCUUCUUAUUAAUCUUGUUUCUUAGUUGUGGCCCAGGUUUCAAACCUGGGCCACAACUGACAGCCAGACGGAACUCGGAUCUGGCGAUCUCGGAGCUACACCCCACAUCUGAUAAUUAACGGUAAAAAAGAUUUCUAAAAAAGCUCCGUGGAAAACUUGCAGAUUGCUUUCACCCUCACUGGAUCUUACAUUUUCUUUUUACAUAGAAACCAAGGAUGCGCACACGGUCCACAACGGACUGUAAAGGUUUAACUAAAUGAAUCGUAUCUAACCUAGAUUCUCAUUAACUAAAUGUCAAGCCUUAAAAAUUGUGCUUAAAAUCGAAAAUCGUCUGAUCGUAAAUUUGAGGAACAAGUUUCCAUUUUUUAAAUUUUGCUCCGAAUUGAAACUCUCUUAAUCUUAUACAUGAAUCUUAAACUAGCCUUUGGACGUAGUAUCUCUCAAUACCACGUUUACACCUGUAAAUCUUCAACCAGAUUGAAAAGACUCCGAUGUGCAUACUCGUUAAUAAAAGCCCAAGAUAUAAAAUUAGUCUAAAAUUGAAGAUCUUACUUAAAUAGUCAAAUGUUUCAACUUAAGUCUUGAAUUCCAAUGAUAUUCGAAAUUCCAAAAUAAGAACUCUAUUAACAUGUUUAAUUAUAACCCCGACGGCCUUGAUUUCAAAGGGAAAUGGAAGAUUUCUUUUUUCCUUUCUUCAUGGUUCUCUCUUUACCUAGUUAAACUGAAACCUGGAAGAUGAAUGAGCAGCGAACCUCAGAGGAUCCGGCGGAUCCCAUAGCUGCACCUCGCAGCGGAAAAUAACGUUAAACUGAAACCUGGAAGAUGAAUGAGCGGCCAACCACAGAGGAUCUGGCGGAUCCCAUAGCUGCACCUCUCAGCGGAAAAUAACGUUAAACUGAAACCUGGAAGAUGAAUGAGCGGCGAACCUCAGAGGAUCUGGCGGAUCCCAUAGCUUCACCACUCAGCAGAA